GUCGUUAUUUGUUGUGKGUGUGCGUKGUUGGUAGCAUGCGUGUUUGCUUACGCUUUGGUGUUUUGCGAGUGUGUGUGUUUGUCGGUGCGCAGACUGAACGAAAGGUCGUGUGUUGCUGUGUGUCUGCUGCAACUGCUGACUUUGCAUUGAUUUGCAUGGUGUUGGCGGAGCGGGCGGGGUGCUGUUGCAUGCGCGGCUGACCUAUUUUUUUCAAACCCCAUACCUAAAUGACUGAUUAUACUGUGAGAAACGAAAGUUCUUGCUUUUAACUAGAUAACAACUUUCAGCAGUGGAUGUCUAGGCUCGCACAUCGAUGAAGAACGCUGCGAACUGCGAUACGUAAUGCGAAUUGCAGAAUUCAGUGAGUCAUCGAAAUUUUGAACGCAUAUUGCACUUCCGGGUUAUGCCUGGAAGUAUGUCUGUAUCAGUGUCCGUAAAUCAAACUUGCGUUUCUUCCUUCCGUGUAGUCGGUGGAGGAGAGUUGCAGAUGUGAAGUGUCUCGCUGUGGUUGGUGUUUGUUGUUUGCAAUGAAUGCACAGCUUGCGAGUCCUUUUAAAUGGACACGACUUUCUCUUUUUUGUAUGUGCGCGGUGCUGUGCGUGAACGCGGUGGUUUUCGGAUCGCUCGCGGCUGUCGGCGACUUCGGUGAAUGCAUAAUGGAGUGGACCUCGAUUCGCGGUAUGUUGGGCUUCGGCUGGACAAUGUUGCUUAUUGUGUGUCUGUUCCGUGUUCGCCUUGAGGUGUACUGAUGGCUGUGGGAUUGAACUGGUUACUGUUGUUAGUAGUGUGUGUAGCACGUUGUCGUGGAUGCAUCUGUGUUUUUGCAUACUUGUGUGUGWGCAAKUGUACAGAAGAGGAGUCUCAAUUUGGGAAAA
RNAcentral lists this ribosomal RNA (875 nucleotides) under Globisporangium irregulare. RNAcentral's name for it is "eukaryotic LSU rRNA". The stretch from base 279 to 433 matches the Rfam family "5.8S ribosomal RNA". The record is from RNAcentral. Lineage: Eukaryota; Oomycota; Peronosporomycetes; Pythiales; Pythiaceae.